CCUACGGGAGGCAGCAGUGAGGAAUAUUGGUCAAUGGACGAGAGUCUGAACCAGCCAAGUAGCGUGAAGGAUGACUGCCCUAUGGGUUGUAAACUUCGUUUAUAUGGGAAUAAAAUGUUCCACGUGUGGGAUUUUGUAUGUACCAUAUGAAUAAGGAUCGGCUAACUCCGUGCCAGCAGCCGCGGUAAUACGGAGGAUCCGAGCGUUAUCCGGUUUUAUUGGGUUUAAAGGGAGCGUAGGUUGGUUUGUAAGUCAGUUGUGAAAGUUUGCGGCUCAACCGUAAAAUUGCAGUUGAAACUUGCAGUCUAGAGUACAGUAGAGGUGGGCGGAAUUCGUGGUGUAGCGGUGAAAUGCUUAGAUAUCACGAAGAACUCCGAAUGCGAAGGCAGUUCACUGGACUGCAACUGACACUGAGGCUCGAAAGUGUGGGUAGCAAACAGGAUUAGAUACCCGAGUAGUC
This 460-nucleotide ribosomal RNA is filed under the name uncultured bacterium. RNAcentral describes it as "partial 16S ribosomal RNA". It matches the Rfam family "Bacterial small subunit ribosomal RNA", at positions 338 to 795 of the family's 1533-position model. The record is from RNAcentral.